UACCCCGUGGUGUAAUGGUAGCACAAGUGGUUUUGAUCCACUGAGUUCUAGUUCAAGUCUAGGCGGGGUAGCCA
This 74-nucleotide transfer RNA is filed under the name Lentisphaeria bacterium. RNAcentral's name for it is "tRNA-Gln". It matches the Rfam family "tRNA". From Rfam's summary of the family: Transfer RNA (tRNA) molecules are approximately 80 nucleotides in length. The record is from RNAcentral. Lineage: Bacteria; Pseudomonadati; Lentisphaerota; Lentisphaeria. RNAcentral also lists the same sequence under 1 other name.